RNAcentral lists this non-coding RNA (159 nucleotides) under unclassified sequences. RNAcentral describes it as "FuFi-1 RNA". It matches the Rfam family "FuFi-1 RNA". The record is from Rfam by way of RNAcentral.
CACGUCAGCGUUCAGGCAUUCGCAGAAUCGAAACUGCAAAAGUGACGUGACGUCCCAUAGACGCGGUUUACGACAUCUGCCGCGGUGAAAACCUGCAAGGCGUAUAGGGUAAACAAAUUCGGCGAAAGGCUGGUGGGGUGUCGUACCCACCGGUCUUUU